CAGGAUUGCUAUCCAGAGAGGCUAGGCAAGAUGUUCGUCGUCAAUGUGCCUUACAUUUUCAUGACUGUGUGGAAGAUGCUUUAUCCGUUUAUCGACAAAAAGACCAAGAAAAAGAUUAAUUUUGUGGAGAACGAUAAACUGCAGCAAACACUGCUUCAAGAUAUCGAUGAGAGCCAACUUGCAAAUAUCUUUGGAGGAACACUUGAGUUAGUUCCUAUUGAGGACUGCUGAUGGAUUUUCAACAACAUACAAAAUUUCUUCUCGAUUUUGUACGCAUUAUCGAUAAUUGUACAUCGUCAUGUCGAUUUUCCAUUUUUAAACUGUUUCAAUGGCAUGAAAAUAAAACCAUGGUUGCAUAGUUUAGCACUCACAUUACGAACGAAAUGCGUCAACACUAAAUUUUAUUUCUAAAGCUCAAAACAUGAAAACCAGCCUUUAAAAGGGAAAAGAAAGAACAAGUAGCCAGGCAUUAUUCAAGAAUAAUAAAGAGCCCCCUUCAGAAUUACUGCUGGGCUCUUCCAAGUUUAAUGAAGCAUCAAAAGGAAAA
Molecule: non-coding RNA, 547 nt
Organism: Erythranthe guttata (spotted monkey flower)
Lineage: Eukaryota; Viridiplantae; Streptophyta; Magnoliopsida; Lamiales; Phrymaceae
Source: RefSeq, a predicted model, not a curated record